CAGCAGCCGCGGGAAUACAGAGGGUGCAAGCGUUAAUCGGAAUUACUGGGCGUAAAGCGCGCGUAGGUGGUUUGUUAAGUUGGAUGUGAAAUCCCCGGGCUCAACCUGGGAACUGCAUCCAAAACUGGCAAGCUAGAGUAUGGUAGAGGGUGGUGGAAUUUCCUGUGUAGCGGUGAAAUGCGUAGAUAUAGGAAGGAACACCAGUGGCGAAGGCGACCACCUGGACUGAUACUGACACUGAGGUGCGAAAGCGUGGGGAGCAAACAGGAUUAGAGACCCCGGUAGUCCCUGUCUCUUAUAC
RNAcentral lists this ribosomal RNA (301 nucleotides) under uncultured bacterium. RNAcentral describes it as "partial 16S ribosomal RNA". It matches the Rfam family "Bacterial small subunit ribosomal RNA", at positions 509 to 807 of the family's 1533-position model. The record is from RNAcentral.